AUGCCCUUUGCCUUCUAUUUACCACUAUAUCUUAUGUGCUUGGUUUUAGAUUUGCAACGAUCAGCACUGUACCCAAGAAGGAGCACAGUGGUUUAUUCCGAAGAGGCAAUUACCGUGAAAAUGGAUCUGAAACUGGUGGCUGUAUCCCUCCUGUUACUACUUCUCUGCACAGACGUCGCCAGCGUUCCACUGCGAAAGCGAGAAGCUCAGGAGAAGGAAACCCCAACCCAAAUUCCGGAGGCAGCCAAGGGGUUCUGGGAUAAAGUUGUGUCCACUUCUCAGCAGUGGAUAGAAAAAGUCCAAACUGACGUCGGAGACUUCUUCAAAAAUACUGGAAAUACUAUGAGCAUCUACCUAGGCAUACUUUCUGACCAGGCUUUACAUAUGUGGCAAUAGGAUUCCUAAUCCACUUGAGGUAACAUUUGUGAGGUGAAUGCUUCCGCUCCUCUUCGUACAUUUUGGGAGCAAUGCAAAUAAAGACCCAUUUCUGCUGUUCUAGGAC
Molecule: long non-coding RNA, 502 nt
Filed under: Salvator merianae (Argentine black and white tegu)
Lineage: Eukaryota; Metazoa; Chordata; Lepidosauria; Squamata; Teiidae
Description: lncRNA (ENSSMRG00000006218.1)
Source: RNAcentral